GACGAACGCUGGCGGCGUGGAUUAGGCAUGCAAGUCGAACGGUAUCAUCCUUUCGGGGGUGAGAGAGUGGCGAACUGGUGAGUAACACGUAGGUUAUCUACCCUCAAGACGGGGACAACCCAGGGAAACUUGGGCUAAUACCGGAUGUGAGCAACUUUUAGUUGUUUGAAAGGUGGCGUAAGCUGUCGCUUGGGGAUGAGCCUGCGUCCUAUUAGUUAGUUGGUGGGGUAACGGCUCACCUAGGCAAUGAUAGGUAGGCGGCCUUAACGGGUGGUCGCCCACACUGGGAUUGAGAUACGGCCCAGACUCCUACGGGAGGCAGCAGUCGAGAAUAGUCUACAAUGGUCGGAAGACUGAUAGUGCGACGCCGCGUGAACGAUGAAUCCCUUCGGGGUGUAAAGUUCUUUUAUAUGUGAGCAGUGCUUCUUAUAUUAACAGUAUGGGGAGAGAGAUAUUAGCAUAUGAAUAAGCAACGGCUAACUCCGUGCCAGCAGCCGCGGUAAAACGUCUA
This 511-nucleotide ribosomal RNA is filed under the name uncultured bacterium. RNAcentral's name for it is "bacterial SSU rRNA". It matches the Rfam family "Bacterial small subunit ribosomal RNA", at positions 28 to 531 of the family's 1533-position model. The record is from RNAcentral.